Brassica rapa (field mustard) is the source of this 1029-nucleotide RNA transcript. RefSeq lists it as uncharacterized. NCBI's taxonomy places the organism in Eukaryota, Viridiplantae, Streptophyta, Magnoliopsida, Brassicales, Brassicaceae. The record is from RefSeq and is a predicted model, not a curated record.
GCAGCCACGAGGCUGGUAACCAUACAUUCAUAUAAUGUUCUCUUGUCGUCUUUCCUAUCUUUGAUUUCCCCUCAAAUAAUGUCUUUUUGAGUAUAAUAUCAGAAGGUAUGGAAUAAUAAGUGAGCUUCGGUGUUCGUGAAAGAACAAUACCAACAAGACUAAGAUUUAAUAAACUCCAAGUACAAGUUCCAAUUACAUAUAUAUAUGGAAGAAAUGACAAAUGUAAACAAAGAUAAUUAACCAUAAGCCAGUGUUGAUGGUAUAAAUUGGUGUAUCUAUUAACGGUACAGGUUUUGAAAGCCAUGAAAUAGGGUGCUGAAAUAAACUUAUUUUAACAUGCUCUCUAGUUGUGCUUAAAAAAAAAAAAACAUGCUCUCUAGUUUUUUUAAAUCCGAAAGAAAUAUGAGUUAGAUGUCCGAAUAUUUUAGGUAAGCAAAAAAGGUAUUUAAAACGUUAUUCUUUUAGGUGAAUUGAGAUUUUGGGGGAACAUGAUAGGAAAGGAACUGUGGCCUAUGAAAUGAAUGUUGAGAAAUGGACUAUAGCCUGGACCACAGCCAAAGUGUAACGGCCCGGUUCCUGGCCCAUAAAAAUUUCCCAAAGAUUAUGGGCUUCUCUACAACCCAUUUGACAAAACCCUAGGGUUUCCCCUUCCCUUUACUAUAAAAAGAGAUGCAGUCUCCCUUUCUGCCUCAUCACAAAUCUGAAGCGAAGCCCUGCAGAGAAUUCCCGGAGGUCGAAAACCCUAGCCGUCGAGCUCUCUCUCUCUCUCUCCUGCGCCGUCUCUCUCUCUCUCCUCUCUCUCUCCCGCGUGUCGCUCUCUCUCUCUCUCUCUCUCCUCGCCGUCACCCUCUCUCUCUCCUUGCCGUCGCACGCUCUCUCUCUCUCUCUCUCCCUCUCGCCGGCGCCGUGAAGGGGUGGUGCUGACCAGAUCUCAACCUUCUCAAUCCUCGUUUCCAGAUCCAGAUCCAGAUCUAAAACUAAGGACUGUAAGUAGAAGUAUAUGGAUGUGGGUAUGACGGUAUUUCAAAG